UACGUAGGGUGCGAGCGUUAAUCGGAAUUACUGGGCGUAAAGCGUGCGCAGGCGGUUCGUUGUGUCGGCGGUGAAAGCCCCGGGCUUAACCUGGGAAUGGCCGUUGAAACUGGCGAACUGGAGUGUGGCAGAGGGGGGUGGAAUUCCGCGUGUAGCAGUGAAAUGCGUAGAGAUGCGGAGGAACACCGAUGGCGAAGGCAACCCCCUGGGCUGACACUGACGCUCAGGCACGAAAGCGUGGGGAGCAAACAGG
Molecule: ribosomal RNA, 253 nt
Filed under: uncultured bacterium
Lineage: Bacteria
Description: partial 16S ribosomal RNA
Rfam family: Bacterial small subunit ribosomal RNA
Source: RNAcentral